Molecule: long non-coding RNA, 537 nt
Filed under: Mytilus galloprovincialis (Mediterranean mussel)
Lineage: Eukaryota; Metazoa; Mollusca; Bivalvia; Mytilida; Mytilidae
Source: RNAcentral
CCUUUUCCUAGUUGUUUUAUAUUUGAAAUAAUUUCAUAUAAAACUAAUGAAAAUUUAUAUUAUUAAAAACUAAAAUUUCGAUCUUCAUAGUAAAUUAAAAAGUCAAUAAUACCCAACAAGACCAAAUACUCGUCUUCAUCAAACGCUGAUUUAUUGCGUUGCCCUUAAAACUGCGAAUUCUUUAGGUUUUGCCAUUCUUAUUCUAUCGAUUUAACCACUUAUCCCUUCCUCCUAUCCCUGUUUGUUUCAUAGACAACCAUACGCGUUGAUUUACGCUUCCGAUGUCUGCAUUCGAAGGUAAUCCAUUCGUGAAUUACGUCCGACUUUGUCGGGUGUCUCUUUCGGUUUUAUGGAACGUCGCUUCUUGGUUUAUGAUUUAUAAACUCAUAAAUUGGUCGAAACAAUUACAUGAUUUUAUCACAUAUAUAAAUAUCUAUAGCGUAAUGGGUGUCGUGUCUUCCUGUACCUUGUAUGGUAUUGCUAUGGGAAAUCAUUACAAUGAAGGUUGGCCUAAUUCCAAGUAUGUAAGGAUGAGUG